Long non-coding RNA from Anas platyrhynchos (mallard), 5140 nucleotides. RefSeq lists it as uncharacterized. The record is from RefSeq and is a predicted model, not a curated record. NCBI's taxonomy places the organism in Eukaryota, Metazoa, Chordata, Aves, Anseriformes, Anatidae.
UAGAUUCCAACUGGCGCACAGAGAUAAAUUCGACAUGAAUUAUUUUGAAGUGCUGUAAUGAGUUCCAGGCUCCAAACUUUGAAAAAGUGAAUCCCACAUACAAUAGGAUCGUACAUCAACACACUGCUUUAUAAGAAACCUGAUUUUCAGUAUUACUGGACAACAACGUGAAUUUUCGGUGUGGCAGGAACUUUGCCUUAAAGCUGUUAUGGUUAACAAGCAAACGUGCUGUUCAUAAAUCCAGUGCAGUGUUAAAGUGAGAUUAAACUGGGUCUUUGGCAUGCGGACAGGAGAGAGGGAGCGAGGAUGUGAAGAGGUCACAACACACCGCAGCCAGAGUCUUUCCAUAGGAAGUUUCUUUGGGAAAUUAGUUUCUUCACUGGUUAGGGUAAAACCAUCUCCCUGGACUCAGAGGACAACCCUACAACAGCUCCUUGCCUCUGCAGCAAGAGCUCUCCUCUGACACAGGCCAACCACCACCAACCCAUCCCACUCUGGACUAGAGGAAGGAAGGUCAGUCUGUAGCUUCACAUCUACCUCCCCCAGGUGUAAAGCAGCAUCACUGCUUAAAGAAAUGUUUCUGCUGCUGCUCCUCCCUGUCCCUAGGACAGACCCUUCUUUUUGACUUGGAAUCCCUCCUGGUCACAUCAGGGCUCCCCUGCUGAGGCAGCAAAGCCCCUUCCUGCACAAGCAAUGAUGGAUCUGUGUGUGGGCUCAGCCAGGGAACUGCAGGAAAGCCCUGGCACAGCAACACGACCCUGGCACAGCACCACGACGCCUGCCCAGGAAGGCUCAGCAUCUUCUCAACCCAGCUCAGACGGAGGAAAAUUCCACUUUCAGGUUCUGUCCCAUUUCCCCAGCCAUCUGCUACUCCAUUAUUUUAGCAUUACGUAGCACGGAAGCCUAAGACUUUGCUUUGGAAUAUCAAUUGUUAAAUUCUAGGGGAAAAAAAAUACGGAGCCUGAGUUGCAUUAAAUGUGAUUGGUGAGAACUUGCACGGCUGAGAACCCCAUCGAUCUAUUUGCUCUGCGACUCACUGACUGGAUAGAACUCAUUAGAAACAGAUUUAUGAAAGUGACUCAGAAUUUGGAACAAAUUAAAGAUGAGUAACAAAAAAAAGGAACUGAAAAAAUGUGUUCUAUUCAUUUAGAAAUGUGCAGUGCUGACAGCACGGACUGAACCAGCUGAAGAUACAGCCCCGGUCUCCUGAUUUCAAAGCCUUGAUAUUUGUUUCCUUCUGCACCCUCGCUGCUUUACAGUACAACUGCAGAAUAGAGAGAAGACUACGCAUGCAGCUUUAAUUUAAUAAUGCUUAAAGAAGCAUUUGAAACAAGGACGUGAAGCAAUGGCCACGUUACACUGAGCUGAGCAGACAGCUUCCAGCGGUGUGCCAUUUUCAUCAAGACUUCAGUCCCAGACGCGAAGCUGCUGUGACAGAUUAAUGUUUGAAUCAAAGGCCUUCAGAAGUUGCUAGGUGACUGAACUGGAAAAGUCUAACCAAAUAAGAAAAGCACUUCUUGAAGAUGAACUGAAAAGGGAAGCAAACACUAUUUGUUCACCUCAUUGCUGCCUUAGCAUGAAUAAAGAGAGCUUCAGAACUAAACCAUAAGCAUUUACUUGGAAAAUAAAUACCUUCUUUCUUCUUCUUAUUUGGCAUAGCCCUAGAAGGACCUACUAAACAGCAAAGCAUAGUAUUAUGAAUUUGAGAACUUACACCUAUGGAAGUUAGCUUAUAAAAAAAAUUUUCAAAAUUACGCUGUUCUGAAAAAACUCUCUUGCUGUUACUCUUCUACAUAUAACUUGAGUGUGAGCUCAAGCAUACCAUUUUCAGCACAUAUUUGCCUUUAAAAUCCUGGCUAAACUGGGUUAUUAUGGAAAUCGAGACAGACACAUUUGCGGAAUAUAGGUCUGAGAAACAAACCAGGGAGAAGUAUCAGGAAGAAUGUCAUCCCUGGAAGGCCACCAGCAGCACUGCACACGAGCAGGGUACACGGCAGGGGUUGCCCACGCCAGCUUUAGUUAGCAGACUCAUUAGGACACAGAUGGACCAGAAGCAUGAAGAUAAUUUCCAGGUCUUUCCAUGAGAUGAUGCACAAGCCACGUAAUACACUGCUCUACCAUGCCAGGGUACAGAACCCUGACGGGGUAAAAUAAAAGUGGUAGCAGCUUAGCUAAGAGUGUGGUUGUACAUGCAGAACCAACGUUGCAUGGUCCCUACCUGUAAUUCCAUCCAUACAAGAAAUGCUUUUGGCCUGUUUCUAGGAAACUUAAACCACAAAUUUCUCUCUCUCAAAACAAAACAAAAAACAGUAGUCCAGACAAACAAUUUUAGCUGCAGAUAAACCUGAAACGUUUGUCUUGUUCUUAAAACAUUAAGAUUUACAAAAUGUUGUUAGAUUAAAAUAGCAUUUUUUAUCCUUAAGAUAUUAAUUGUGAUUUCAACCAAAGAUGAGGUUCAAAAAACACACUGACAAUUUUUUACUUACACUAAAACUUGAAACACCAUUCUGAAAUAAUAAGAGUUUCCCCACAAGAAUACGCUUCUAAUGUUUGUGAGAUUUAACCUUUUUUCCUGAAUUGCCUUUGUUGUCAUGCCAUCCUUUGUUUCCAAGGUAGCAGGAGCAAACAGGAACGUGUACUGAGCCAGUCUUGGGUGUUUUGUAUGGACUCACGUUAUUCCUCUAACUUCAAUCUGUUCUUUUGUGCAAAAAUGCCAGAGCCGAGUUCAUACAAAACCGGCACACAAGAGUCUCUUCAGAUGGUAAGGGAGUUUAUUUCAGCCAGUCCUAGCUGAUAUUAAAACCAAAGUCACUGAAUCAGAGAAAUAAAACCGCAGUAGAAGGAGUCACAGAACCAAUGGCUCAAAAUUUAUAGAGAAUAACAUUGUGGGAAGUUCCAUAUGGGAAAGCACUCACAUUCUUCUGUGUUCAGCUCCUUCAGCAGCGAUGGCCCUAUAAAUGCAACUCACUGCAUGAAUCCCACCACUUCCGCCAAUAUCCCAAGACAUUCACCGUAACUGAAUUCUCCUUACUGGCAGAAUAUCUGCUGAUUCCUGCCAGCUUUGAACAACCAACCCACUAUCUCUACAUAUGACAAAGAAAACUGAGGCAAACAUUCAAAUCUGACAGCUUGCUGGAGAAGGGUAGAGGAAAUCAAUUAAAAGAGAGAGGCAAAUAUCUUCUCCUCCUCCUCUCCUAUCAUUCAGAAGAGCCACGAUGCACUGUACGUUGAGGCAACAGCCACGUUGAGUCAUCUGGCACCAAAAAGCAAGGCCGAAAGGUUACUGCAAACACCCCUCCUGACCCUGCCUCGAUAGAUGACUUUCAGCAAAAACAAAAUGUUAAUGCAGCACUAAUUUGUCUGCCAACAGUGCUCAGUUCUUUUGCAACCGGGACUUAGAAUAUCUUCUGUAGGGAGGCAAGUAACUGGUUUGCAAGCAUAGAGUUACUCUGUUUUACUCUGAGGUCCUUGUACAAGUUUUAACUUAUCUUGUAAAAAAAAAAAAAAAAAAAGCGUUCAAAAACUCUACAGCCAGCUAAGCAGUGCAAAGACAGCACUAAGUACUUUAUAUUUUUGCAUAUAGACAUUAGCCUUUCCACACACACAAAAAAAAAUAAAAAAUAAAAGAAAAAGAAAAGCAAAAUCAACACUCAUUUAGCUUAUCAGUUCUGAAACCAAAAAGAAAAGGCAUGAUCAGGAAGAGGAGGAAGGAGAAAAAAACGCUGACUUCUGCGCACCACGUUGAUGAGAAAAGCAUUUCCCAAUCCAGGCCUUUGUGCAGAACCACGGAUGUGGUACACGGCACUCUCUAGGAAGUGUGCUCACUUCCACGCAUCUGACAAAUACAAGAGUAUUUAAUCCAAAGAGGCUUACAUGGAACAAUGUAAUUUGAUCCGUUUCUGGAAACCAAAUUCUUCAGAAAAGGAAGCUUAAGAGCAGCUGAACAUCUUCUCCAUUCCCAGGUCCAAUUACAAAGCCGCCCUUCGCUGCUUUUAAAACUCUUCUCCAUUUGUCUAACUGAAUUUGUUUACUUUCCUGUGUCACGCCCCUUAUAUGACACCAUGUUCAUCUUCCCUACGACAUCCCCUCUGUUGGGAAAUUACUGCCUUUCUUCAGAUUUCCAUAGUGAACUGUCUCAGAUUCACUUUGCUUUCAAAACAAAGUUUCAAAUGCUUCUCAACUCCUUUUUUAACUCUCUAAUUAGUUGUGUAACUGAAUGUUUUUAUUCAUAAAGUUUUCUUGUAGUAAUUUCUUCUGUAUUUAACUGUGAAAACAACUUGACAUACAGCUUGAAAGACACCAUGCAAAAUUAAAUUAUUGUGUGUAAUGAGUUAUUGCCUUUGAAUUUCAUUAGAUAGAAAUGUUAUUAAAAAUAACCAAGUUUUCCACGCAUGUUUAGUAUUUACCUAAUUUCAUUGUGGAUGUGGUUUUAAAGAAUUAUACAGGCUGAACUGAUAAUCACAAUACCACAUUCAGUUUGUGUUGCCUCAGAAAACAGAAUCCGUCAACACCAGACAAAGCUGAUUCAGACGGAAGCAGAACGUUAAUUUUGUGUUGCAUUAAUAUGCACAAUCCCCAAAGCACUCGCUUUACUUAAUAUUAAUUAGAAAACAUUAUGUAAGUCUGUUUAAAAUAUUCAAAUCGAGUUUUGUUACAUUUUUAUUUAGAGCUAGAACAUAUGAUCAGCUUAGCUUCACCAAACUACCUAAUUAGCCAUCUGCUUCUUGAAAUUUUGUUAAAUAUGUAUUAUAUAGUUUUAACAAAAGGGUAUUUUAUCAUCUCGUGUAUUCUUCUCUAAUCAUACUAAAGCACAUGACCAAUGAAGUCUUCUCUGUUACACAGAAACAUACCCCAAAGGAAAGAGACUGCCCUUCUUGGAUCCAUCAACGCCAUGGGACAUGAACACAGCUAUUGGGAAACCAGGCAAGAAUACCUCAAACAACUUGCAGCAACUUUUUUUGAAAGCCAGGAAGGAAUAUUAACCAGCUACGAAACACCACCACCACCACAAAAACAUGCAAACAAACAAAAAAUACACAAAAAAUUCCACCAAACAAGAAAUCAAAGAAAAAAACAAAAACACACAACUCUCACACAAACCCAACCCAUAGUCUUUUGCUCAAUAAAAAUGUCCAUAUCA